CCGAGUGAGGGUCCCUCGCGGCCCAACCUCCCACCCGUGUCUACCGUACCUUGUUGCUUCGGCGGGCCCGCCACCCAGUGGCCGCCGGGGGGCUUCUGCCCCCGGGCCCGCGCCCGCCGGAGACCCCAACAUGAACACUGUCUGAAGCCUUGCAGUCUGAGUCGAUUGUUUACAAUCAGUUA
Molecule: unclassified non-coding RNA, 182 nt
Filed under: uncultured Aspergillus
Lineage: Eukaryota; Fungi; Ascomycota; Eurotiomycetes; Eurotiales; Aspergillaceae
Description: sequence contains ITS1
Source: RNAcentral